CUCUUUCUCUCCCUCCUUAUUCGUAAAACCUAAAACCCUAGACAGAGCUUUUUCUCUCUCUCACGCUAUAAACUCGUUCGAUUUCUCUCUAUUCUGCACCGGGAGUUGGUAUAUGGAUGAUAAGGAUAAGGUUGAUCCAGUCGCCGGCGGAUUCACCUCCGACAAUACGUGGACCUUCCAAGGCGAUUACAGCUUUUUCGGAAACGAUGCUAGAGAAAGUAGCGUAUUGAAUGAGUUCGGAUGGAACUUCCAGCCUCCGCCAUCGGUGUUUGAUCGGAUCGAUUCUGACGUCGUCGGUAGCUCCGUGUCUUUGCCGGAGGUAAGCGUAGGUGUUAUCGCUAGUGAAGUUCAGGCUGGAUCUAUUGAUGAGGCAGGGGAUGUAUCGAUCUCAAAUCCGUUGGUUUCCACAAGUUCGUCAGAGGAUCGAAUGGAGUCUUCUACGGCUUCAGGUGACGCCGCCUUCGGUGGUAAACCUCCAUCGUCGGAGAGAGCGGGCAAGGCUAAAAAGAAGGGACCCAAAAGGAUCCGUCAGCCACGUUUUGCAUUCAUGACCAAGAGUGAAAUUGAUCAUCUUGAAGAUGGUUACAGAUGGAGAAAAUAUGGGCAGAAAGCUGUAAAAAAUAGCCCUUUUCCUAGGAGCUAUUACCGCUGCACAAAUAGCAAAUGCACGGUGAAGAAAAGAGUUGAGCGAUCAUCGGAAGAUCCUACAAUUGUAAUUACGACAUAUGAAGGCCAGCACUGUCAUCACACUGUAGGGUUCCCAAGAGGACUCAUAAAUCAUCAUGAAGCAGUCUAUGCAAGACAAUUGCCCCCUUCUUCAGCCCUACAGCCUGCCAACUAUUCUAGAGCUCAAUUCCCUAGUGAAAUGCAUGCCGUUGUUACCUCACAAUCACGGCCACAAUUAGUAUCAAGUGAAUCAGGAGAUCAUAUGUCCCAUAGACUACCUCAGUCAUCCUCUCAAGGGUCUCAGGUGGGUCAAGGGUUGCUUGGUGAUAUUGUUCCUCCCAGAAUGCGCAAUCAAUGAUGUAAAGUUGAUCCACAGGCUGCAACCUUUUUAUUGUAUCAACAAAAUGAGAAUACGGAACCAAAAUUCACGGGAUUACAAGAAGUUGGUGGUUGCAGGAGGCACUCAUAGUUAUCCCACCAAGACACCUGAAAACCUUUGAUGAAGAUGCACUCACUCAAAUGAUUUCAUAGGUGAGUCCACUAAAUUGCUUCCAUCUCUUUGUAGUUUGUACCAUGGCUGAUCCUUGAUCACAUUUGAGAUCAUUAAAUCUCAAAGACUUCUGUAUGUAUAUGUUGUAUCUAUAUUACAUUAUUUAGUUUAUCAUCAAUAUUA
Molecule: RNA transcript, 1339 nt
Organism: Cynara cardunculus var. scolymus (artichoke)
Lineage: Eukaryota; Viridiplantae; Streptophyta; Magnoliopsida; Asterales; Asteraceae
Gene name: probable WRKY transcription factor 57
Exons: 5
Source: RefSeq, a predicted model, not a curated record